ACGAACGCUGGCGGCGUGCUUAACACAUGCACGUCGAACGGAAAGGCCCUGCUUUUGUGGGGUGCUCGAGUGGCGAACGGGUGAGUAACACGUGAGUAACCUGCCCUUGACUUUGGGAUAACUUCAGGAAACUGGGGCUAAUACCGGAUAGGAGCUCCUGCUGCAUGGUGGGGGUUGGAAAGUUUCGGCGGUUGGGGAUGGACUCGCGGCUUAUCAGCUUGUUGGUGGGGUAGUGGCUUACCAAGGCUUUGACGGGUAGCCGGCCUGAGAGGGUGACCGGCCACAUUGGGACUAAGAUACGGCCCAGACUCCUACGGGAGGCAGCAGUGGGGAAUAUUGCACAAUGGGCGGAAGCCUGAUGCAGCAACGCCGCGUGCGGGAUGACGGCCUUCGGGUUGUAAACCGCUUUCGCCUGUGACGAAGCGUGAGUGACGGUAAUGGGUAAAGAAGCACCGGCUAACUACGUG
Molecule: ribosomal RNA, 467 nt
Filed under: uncultured bacterium
Lineage: Bacteria
Description: partial 16S ribosomal RNA
Rfam family: Bacterial small subunit ribosomal RNA
Source: RNAcentral